This 3572-nucleotide long non-coding RNA is filed under the name Homo sapiens (human). RNAcentral's name for it is "HSALNT0286307". Lineage: Eukaryota; Metazoa; Chordata; Mammalia; Primates; Hominidae. The record is from RNAcentral.
CCGGUCCUGGCCCUCCCGAGUUUACAACCUUAAGUCACACAAUGACACAGAUCCCAAAGGCGAGCAGUUAACAAAUACAUCCACUUGUCCACCAAUCACAAGGGAUCCAUUGAGUGAGCCACUGCAACAAACAGGAACCCCUUCAAAGAGCUUCCAGUCUGGUGGGACCAACUACAUAAUCCUUGGUAAGAAAAGGAGGUGGCCCUGACAAGUGCAACUCGAGAAAUGCAAUGCUGUAGAGUCCAAAGGUGUCUGACUUGAACGAAAUGAUCCCACUGGGGGACAAUGCAACAUAUACUCCAGGUAAGCAUAGUGGAAAACAUAUUGGACUUAGAUUCAAACACACCUGAACCUGUAACUUAUGAGCCAGGUGACCUUGGGGGUGAACUGGAACUUACACCUUGCUUCUCCUGUUCUCAGGAGACUUGGACUGGAACUAUACCACCAGCUGUCUCGGAUCUCCGGCUUGCAGACGGCACAUCAUGGGACUUCUCAGUCUCCAUCACUGCAUGAGCCAAUUCCUUAUAAUAAAUCUCUGUCUCUCUCAUUAUACAUAUCUUGGAGAACCCUCAGGAACCUUGACUAAUACACAAGAUAAAUUCAGUUUUAAUUGUAUGUGAGGCAUUGUGGUGGAGAUAUAUACUAGAUACCCACACGCAAGUGGGCAAAGGUCUGGGAUCAAAAUAUCUAUUUGGGAAUCUUCAGCAUAUGGGUGAUAGUUGAAAUCAUAAAAGUGGUUGAACUCUUCUGGGACUCUCAUAUAUUGUAAUAGGAUGAACGGCAGAAAGAACAGAUACAGAUACAUGUAGGUUGGUUAAUCUGAUGGUUGGAAUGUGGACUUCGUAUUCGAUGUACUUGGUGUGUGUGUCUUUGUUUAUAAUGAAGUCAAUUACUCAGUAAUGUGCAUAUAAUAAAUUCCGUAGUGUGUGUGGUUCAGUCACUCUACUAGUUUUUAAAACUGUUCCGCUAAAGCUCUCAGUUGAAAGAACCCAUGGUGGUGUUGUUAUACAUAAAUAUCUUUACUUGAUAGACCUCAUUGACUACAGUCAGGAUUCUGGUAGAUAAAUUGGGCAGAUGAGAUGACCUCCCAACCCUUCUCUGGUGCUUUCUGAAUAAGGCCUGUGUUUGUCUGGCUGUACCAUACAUUUUAUUUUCUCUUUCAUUCAUUUCUAAGCCUCAGCAACAACCCCCUUCUCCAACACCUUGAUAUAAAUUGCCUUCAAACUCUAAUAGAACUUGAGAAUGUUGAUAACCUCAAACUAUGGUAUCCUGAUGUUUCCAUAGUAACUAAUGCACACCAAGGGGGAAAAGAUGCGAGAAUAAAUGAGAAUAGCAUUUUAACAAAAUAAGUGAGGGGCAAAGAGGCUUUAGACAUGUUAUUACCUCUUGUUUAGGAAUAUGAAAAUAUUCAUCUCCUUAAUAAUGGGGUUAUAAAAGUUGCUACAAUGAGACUUGUCAGUAGCCAUUUAUAUUUCAUUUUUCUCUAUAAUCAUCAUCAUCAAAAGCAUUUAAAUGCUUCUCUGCCCAACAAUACUGUAGAGAGUGAGUUAAAUGGACAUAGUUGCCAUUUUCCUGUGAACCUGCAAUCACAAUAGGACAGGGUAGGCCAAUGUCUGUAUUCCAGUCUCCCCAGCAGAGUUUUGACCUAGUGGAUAUUAGGAGGAAUGGGGAUUCAAAGAAGACAAAUCAGUGUUGUGGCAUUUGUUUGCUUUGAUACAAGACUUUACUAGCAUCUCAGCACUUCCUUGGUUAAAGGGUGGGAGAAUAGGGUGCUGCUGUUUCUUCUUUCCUAUUUCAUAAAAAGGAGGCUUUCUGUAAGCCAGGAAGAGAGCACUCUCAAGUAAUCAAAUUGGCUGGCACCUUGAUCUGGGACUUCCAGUCUCCAGAACUCUGAGAAAAUACAUUUGCGUUGUUUAAGCCAGUGAGUCUGUGGUAUUUUGUUAUGGCAGCCUGAGCAGCCUAUACACCGGUCAGUGUACAUGCACAACCGAUUAAGCUAUUGUUAGAUAGGAAUAGAUUUAGUAAGGGUGAAGAGAAGACUUUUUAUUUUAUGUAUUUGUUUGAGACAGAGUCUCUCUGUCAUCCAGGAUGGAGUGCAGUGGUGUGAUCAUGGCUCACAUCAGCCUUGACCUUCCAGGCUCAAGUGAUCCUCCCACCUCAGUCUCCUGAGUAGCUGGGACCACAGGCAUGUGCCACCAUGCCUGGCAAAUUUUUGUAUUCUUUGUAGAGAUGGGGUUUCACCAUGUUGCCCAGGCUGGUCUUGAACUCCCUCUUGCCUUGACCUCCUAAAGUGUUGGGAUUAUAGGUGUGAGCCACCAUGCCCGGCCUAAUAUUUUUAUUUUAGAAUUAGAGAGAUUAGGCCAGGCACAGUGGCUCACGCCUGUAAUCCCAGUACUUUGAGAGGCCGAGGUGGGUGGAUCACUUGAGGUCAGGAGUUCGAGACCAGCCUGACCAACAUGGUGAAACCCUGUCUCUACUAAAAAUACAAAAAUUAGCCAGGUGUGGUGGUACGUGCCUGUAAUCCCAGCUACUCAGGAGGCUGAGGCAGAAGAAUUGCUUGAACCCGGGAGGUGGAGGUUGCAGUGAGCCGAGAUCACGCUAUUGCAUUCCAGCCUGGAUGACAGAGUGAGACUCUGUCUCAAAAAAAAAAAAAAAAAAUUAGAGAGAUUAAAUUUCCACAGAUAAGUGUAAUAACUGGUGGGGUAUCUAUCUAACCCAGAACAGAAACACAGAAAGUAGAGGGACAGAAAGUAUACUGAACAGCUCCAGGUAAGGUAGAUAGCAUGGCUGGGAUUCCGCUUAACCUGAUACUUUCCCCAUUUAGAAGAGAAAGGUUAAAAAGCACAUUCUUCUUCUUUGUCUUCUUUUUUUUUUCAUACUCAUAUCACCUUUUGAAAAUUAGUCUUCAGUUUAGCUUUUGUGCAAUGAAUUCAGAGGUUAGAAGCAAGAUGUUUUGGGAGGUAGGGUGAGGCUCAUCAGUGAGAAUGAAAGCCAAUUUCCUAGACUUGCCUGGGGAAGGUAUAUUAGAACGGGGGCCAUUUGUUCUCAAUGUUCAACUCCCACUUAUGAGUGAGAACAUGCAGUGUUUGGUUUUCUUUUCCUGUGUUAGUUUGCUGAAGAUGAUGGCUUCCAGCUUCAUUCAUAUCCCAGCCAAGGACAUGAUCUCAUUCCUUUUUAUGGCUGCGUAGUAUUCCAUGGUGUAUAUGUACCACAUUUUCUUUAUCCAGUCUAUAAUUGAUGGGCAUUUGGGUUGGUUCCACAAACCUGCACGUUCUGCACAUGUAUCCCAUUUUUUUUUAGAAGAAAUAAAGAAAAAAGAAAAGAAAAGAAAAAAAAGAAUGGGGACCAUUUAUCUUGGAUGGCCAGAGGUUUGGUAGACAUCCUCAAGUUUAGACAGGCCUUAGAGUUCAGAUGAAAAAGGAGUGUAUCUUCAUAUUAGAGGCUCAGUUUGGACAAGGGAAAUUUCAGUGUGUGUGUGUGUGUGUGUGUGUGUGUUUAAAAUUUGUGAAAUUUGAUCUUACAGUCACUGGGAGAAGGCAGAAAUUUUGAGGAAAAGGAGUCCUCAAUAAAGC